Molecule: long non-coding RNA, 2471 nt
Filed under: Fukomys damarensis (Damara mole-rat)
Lineage: Eukaryota; Metazoa; Chordata; Mammalia; Rodentia; Bathyergidae
Description: lncRNA (ENSFDAG00000032103.1)
Source: RNAcentral
AAUUCUUUUUUUUUUUUUUUGUACCAGGGAAUCAAACUCAGGACCUUGCAUUUGCGAGGCAAGCAAAGGAACCACUGAGCUAAAUCUCCGGCCCUUAUUAUAUCUAAUUCUUAACUGAAGUGGUCUUUCAUAUCAGAUCCGCUGGGCCAGCAGCUUUGCCACUAUAGUGGAGAUCUCUUUCGUAAGUGGACUUCUCCCUGUGAUGUACCCUGGACUUCAGGUAUGAUUCAGUGUACAGGCACUCACUCUGUCUAUUCAAAGGACUAGGACCAAUCCCUAUUAUUCCCUCAUGAGGAGAAAACAGCUGCCAGUAGUAUUAACAUCCAAAGAACCAAUCAUACAUCAACGCAUAACUUAAAACUUGUUUAAAAAGUUUUUGACUCUUUUGGUAUCUCAGAAAGAUGAAGGAAGAAGAAUAGUGACAAAGGAUUGACUGAGAAAUAGGGAAAGAAAAGAAGGAGAAAAUAAAAUGAAAUGAAAAAGGAAAAAAAUGAAAAAUAGGUUUUGAUGAUAUUAUUUUUAUGCUAGAACAGAAGUGAGGUGGGAGAGGAGUUUUGAGAAGAUACGUAUAGGGGAAGACAGAAAGAAGAGAAGGAAGCAUGAGUGGGAAGUGUGAGAGGCUUGAUGGAUGUUGGAACUAAUUAAUGGACUAGCAGUAAUCCAGUGUCGGAAGACUUGAAAAGCAACUCAGGGUGGAAGAGAACCCAACAGGGCCUGCUCCUGUGCUGGCUCCCAAUCCAGCUUCUUGGAACUGCAAGGCAACAGGUCAGGGUUGGAGAAGACUUCCCAGGCUGGCUGGAGUUCUUCAGCUGCUGAAUCACCAACAGGCUCUACCAGGGAAAGAUCCUUCAAGCACAGGCUAGUCAGCCUCCAACUGCCACAGAGCAGAAGUACCCACCGCUCAGAGGAAAAGGAACCAGCUGACAGUGACAAGAGCUGCCAGGACCACUCAUCAGAGCCUUGCAGUGGUCUGAGAAGCUUGCAGUGGGACCAGUGAUCCAACUUGCCUCAUUACCCGGGAUUCUGUGUCCCCUCAGAAGUUCUUCCUUCUAUCUUUAUUUUUUCCAUCUGUGCCUGCCUGUCUGUCUUUUUAUAUUAAUUCAAAGCAUCUGAGUUUAACACGAAGUCUAUCUAUAAAGUAACAAGACUUAUGAGUCACAAACAAAGUCCAUCCCCAGGGUUUUAGAGUCGGGGGCUUAAGGAGAUGCAGGAGCCUAACAGAGUGAUCACAGGACUUUCUCCUGGUCCAUAGCCUGACUUUAGGCCCUGACCUAUUCUUCUGGGCCAUGGGUUUGUUUGGCCACAUGUAGCAAAGCUGUGGAUACUGCAAAUGUACUUGGUCAUGUGGGAAGAGUCUCAUUUGUUGGCUCUGCAGACAAAUCAGUAAGGGGCAAGGCAUGUGUUCACAUGGUUCUGAGGUAGAGGGUGUCCUAUGUCCUUUGGUGCUAUCAGUUUAAGGAAUUUUAAAAGAAAACUAUAGUUGGAAUCAUACAGGCAGAGGCAGUAUCUGUGGGAAGAUGGGAUGGGAGCUCCCCAUCAAUCUUGUUCUUGCCAUUUUCCCUAUUUACCAUUUUAGCUUUUGUUGGGAAAGGGCAGACAUGAGAAGCAAAAGAAAGGAGCUGGAAAAGAGGACAUUUUUUGCUAGUCAGUUCUAGUGAGAACAGGAGAACCACAGGAAGAAUGAAGAGGGCAGUGUUCCAUGUCAAAAAUUUAGGUAAGAGCACAGAGACAAAGAGUGAUGGACGAUCUAUAUUCAGAGAAUUCUGCAGUAUUACCUAAAAUCCAGUCCUACCUCAAUGAAGAUGGUUUAGGAAUCAAAACCAGCUGAAGAAGUGUUAUAGCCACUUUAAAAGACUGUUCGGCGGUUCCAUAUGAAACAAAACACAUUCUUACCACAUGAUCAGGCAAUUGAACUCCUUGGUAUUUAUCCAAAAGAGUUGAAAGGUAAUGUCCACCAAAAAUAAACAAACAAACAAACCUACACAUGAAUAUUUUUAGCCACUUUAUUCAGAAUUGUCAAAACUUGGAAGCAAUCAAAAUAUCCCCCAAUAGAUAAGUGGGUAAGGAAGUGGUGGUACCUUCAUAUAAUGGGAUAUUAUACAGCAAUAAAAAGAAAUGGGCCCUCAAUGUACCAGAAGACAUGGAGAAAUCUUAGAUACAUAACAUUCUGGAAAAGGCAAAGCUGUAGAUACAGUUAAAAAAAAAAAAGAUCAGUGAUUGGCAUUUAGGAGGAAGAAGAGGGUGAGGGGGAACCUUGAGGAUUUUCAGGGCAGUGAAUCUACUCUGUAUGUGGAUUAUAAUGGUCAUUAUCCAUCUGUCCAGACCCAGGUGAUGUAUACUACCAAGACUGAACCCUCACGUAAACUAGGGGAUUUUGUUUAUAUCUAAAUUUAUUUAAAUAAUAUUAACUUUAGUUAAUGAUAUAUCAAUAUUCACUUGUCAAAUGUAAUACACAUAUCAACCAGUGCAAG